GCUCCGCUGGAAGCCCGGCCCCAAACUCCUCUUCCGGGGAGGGCGGGCCGUCGUGGCGAGCAAGGUAGGCCCUGGAGUGUGCAACCUGGCUGCGUCCGGGGCUGGAAUUGUACGCUCGCUAGCCGGAAGGCCGGCCACGGAGCCGGUAGCUCGGGGCCAAGCUCCGAUCGCCUUCGACCACGCCCCUUCGCCACCCGCAGCCCUGGGUUCAUUGAAACGACUGCUCGUCGUUCUCCGGUCUUUGUGAGAGUGGGCUGUAGUGUUUUGGCUGCACAGAAGGCUGGUCCUUCGUAUGUAACAGGGUCCACUGAGCUCCUCCCUUGACCAGUCCCCGUACCGGCGCCUCGUGCCAGCUUCUGCUGGAAAAGGUCUUCCAAGUCCAGAAGAGCCAGAGCGUCUUAGGACUUAGGUGGGGAGUAAGCGGUCUGUGACCUUCCGCCGCGUCCUGGAGAGGCCUCUUUGGCCUCAUGGCAGCACCACCGCUGGGCCGUCUGGUGCUGACCCACGUGCUGGUGGCCCUCUUCGGCAUGGGCUCUUGGGCUGCUGUGAAUGGCAUCUGGGUGGAACUACCGGUGGUGGUGAAAGACCUCCCUGAGAGUUGGAGCCUCCCAGCGUACCUCUCUGUGCUUGUGGCGCUGGGGAACCUGGGUCUGCUGGUGGUGACCCUGUGGAGACGGCUGUCCCCGGGCAAGGGCGAGCGGGUCCCCAUCCAGGUGGUGCAGGGGCUGGGCAUAAUAGGCACAGCCCUCCUGGCCCCUCUGUGGCACCACGUGGCCCCAGUGGCCGGGCAGCCCCACUCUGUGGCCUUUCUAACGUUGGCAAUGGUGUUGGCACUAGCCUGCUGUGCUUCUAAUGUCACUUUCCUGCCCUUCCUCAGCCACAUGCCACCUCCCUUCUUACGGUCUUUCUUCCUGGGUCAAGGCCUCAGUGCCCUACUGCCCUGUAUGCUGGCCCUCAUUCAGGGAGUGGGCCGCCUUGAGUGCCUACCUGCCCCUGCCAAUGGCACCUCUGAGCCCAUCUACUUCCCUGAGCGUUUUAGUGCCAGUACCUUCUUUUGGGCACUGACUGCCCUUCUGGUCACUUCAGCUGCCGCCUUCCAGGGUCUCCUGCUGUUACUACCAUCACCAGCAUCUGUACCCACAGGCAGCCCAGUGCAGGGCCUGCAAGUGAGACAACCAGGAGUAGAGGAGGAGGAAGAGGAAGAAGCCUCACCGUUGCAGGAGCCGCCCAACCAGGCAUCACGCACUACUGUCAGCCCAGACACUAAGGCCCAUCAGCUGUUCUCAGCCCGUGGUGCCUGUUUGCUGGGCCUGUUGGCCAUCACCAAUGCACUGACCAAUGGUGUACUCCCUGCUGUGCAGAGCUUUUCCUGCUUGCCUUAUGGGCGCCUGACUUACCACCUGGCAGUGGUGCUGGGCAGCUCUGCCAACCCCCUUGCCUGUUUCUUGGCCAUGGGCAUCCUGUGCAGGUCUCUGGUAGGGCUCUGUGGCUUGUUUCUUCUGGGAAUACUCUUUGGGGCCUACUUGAUAGCACUGGCAGUCCUGAGCCCCUGCCCUCCUCUAGUGGGCACUUCUACAGGCAUGGUCCUUGUGGUGCUGUCAUGGGUGCUGUGUAUGGGCCUGUUCUCAUAUGUCAAGGUGGCGAUCAGCUCCAUGCUACAUGGUGGGGGCCGGCCAGCAUUGCUAGCGGCUGGUGUGACCAUUCAAGUGGGCUCCCUGCUUGGUGCUGUUGCUAUGUUCCCUCCUACCAGCAUCUACCACGUAUUCCACAGCGGACAGGAUUGUGUGGACUUGUGUGGCCACUGAACUUGAGCAGUUUCCAGAAUAAAACAUCUUUAUUCAGUGGGCAGUGAUUAAUCCCAUGAGCACUUCUCCCUGUGGAAGCCAACUGCCUUCCCCAGCAGCUUGCUCUGGCCAAUUCAGCACUGACUGUCUAUCUCCCCACAGAUAGGAUAUCUGCAUUGUCCAGGUGGGACUUGAACUCGUGAGCCUCCUACCUGACUGGGCCUUUGUUUCUUGGCAUCUGCAAGGAGCAUUUCUUCGUUGGGCUUAUCCUGGGCUUGGUGGUACUCAUCUGUGACACAAAGCGCGCAGAGCUGGAGCCACCUGCUAGGAGGAGCACUGGAAAGCCUUUGACCCAGCCGAGGACUGCAGUAUUCCCAGGAGGGUAUCUGAGUUUCUGCCUUCUUGUCUUGUGGGUGGGCAGGAGAGGCCUGUGGGGAACACAUCCUCCCCAAGUAGCAGGACCCUGAGCUGUGAUCAAGAGUGAGUAGCCCAGUGUGAGUACUCAUUCUCACAAAGGAGGUUCCUUCUACUGUAGGACAGAAGAGUGGUUUUCACUCCUGCUGACUGUGUUCCUUCCUGUCAUUGUUUUAGUCUCUGAAUGCUUUUCUGAGCUUGAGAACCUCCAUCAGUAACUUGGCUGCAUGGCCUUGGUAGGACCAGCUGAGCAGGGGCCUCUCAGGUGGCUCAGCCCAGUCCUGGGGAGGGUUAGGGCAGCUCAACAGAGUUGCUUUCCUCUGGAAGGUGGGCAGGUACUGAGGGGGUGAAGGUUGUUGUAAAUUUCAGAAGCUGUGCAAGGUGGGUAAUGGAGAGAGACCCAGAAGGAUGGGGCUGAGGUGCAUGGAAUCAUAGGAUUGCCGAGGAGUUACACUCCAUACCCUCUUCCCUUCUAGCACUCUGCUUCUGUCCACCUGGGCUGCAGGCUGAUGAAGCCCCUCCCAGCUCUUCUUUGACCUCCUUAUCAGAGUAGAUAAUCAGAGGUUCCUGUAGCCUCCACCCUGGCACCACAAGUACAGUGUUCAAGGGUGGGCCACAGAGAAGUGAGAGGGUUGCCCAACCCUAAAAACAUACCUGGUCUCCUGGAAAGAAGUGUCGUGGGCCAGAGGUGGGCAGUCUGAGGAGCCCACUGCUAUUUGAAGUCUCCCAGGGCUUUCCCAUCCUGCUCCAGGAAGUGGGACAAGGGUCAAAAUAACAAAGGGAGGGAGAUAACAAAGCCAGGGCUGAGGCAUUUCCAUCAAGCACUUGAUCCUUUACACACCACACCGACCAGUUUAGGAGAGACCUCUUCAAGGAAGGCAGAGGGCAGGAGUAAAAGUGAAGCCCGGGGCCCACUAUUUCCUUCCAAGCAUCAAAAAAUGUCUCUUUGGUUCCUUGAAACCAGAGAAGGGCCAGUUUCCUUACCCAGCCCCUGAGUGAGAGGACAAGGCUACCUGGCUCUGAUUGAAUGGCAAGGUGGGGCUAUGACUCAGGGCACUGGGGUCCUAGAGAGCUGUGAGUUCUGCAGUGGCAGGUGUGAACCACAAUAGACAGCCCCAGCCUCAGGUGUGAGUCUGCUCUGACCUUCCCCCUUCUGGCUUGGGGAUGUAGGAUAGUGGGAUAACAACCAUCUGUGGAAUUCAGAGGAAAUUCCCAACUUCUCUGUGGCCAAGAAAAAGAAGUUAUGCUGGCUGGGCGUGGUGGUGCAUGCCUGUAAUUCUAGCACUUGAAGAAACUGAAGCAGGAGGAUUGCUAGGAGUAGCAAGACCUUAACUUUAAAAAAAAACAAACGUGAGUGGUCAGGAAUGGAUGUGGGAAUCUACAUUUGGGAAUCACCUUCUCCAUACUCUGCUCCCAGGAAGGAGAUCUGUUGCCCACCUUCAUUGAAUCUGAAUCUGGGAUUUCUCUGUUCCCAACACUCCCUUCUCUGUCCCAGAGACCCUGUGGCUGCCCAUGUGACCCACUUUUUUGUUUUUGUUUUUUUUUUUUUUGGUGCCAGGGAUCGAACUCACAACCUCGCACUUGCCAGGCAGGCGCUUAUGCCACUGAGCUAAAUCCCCAGCCCUAUGUGUCCCACUUUAGAACAGGGUCACAGUGCUCGCUGGAAUAAAUCAGAAUCCAUCAUGAGAUCUGUCUUAGGGGUAUCAGUUAUCCUAAGAACUAUUAAAAUUACUCAAAAGUAUUGAAGGAGCUUGCCUGAGAAUGAAGGCACCCAGCUAAGAAGUAGAGAAACAACAUCAUGGAGUCACUGAGAUCCAGUGUGCCUGUUGCUACCCCUCUUUGACUUGGAACCCUAGUCCUCUAAAUGUUACUGCUGAAGUUCCCAUAGGUCCCCAGAUCCUGCUGUAUCCCAGUCUAAUUCCAGACCACAUCCCAGAUGGUGCGCUCAGUGAUACUCAGUCUGAGAGUCCUGGACCCAGACCACAUGACACCAACUCUGGCAGGGAGCCACCUGCUCAACAGAGUAUCCUGACAGCAGUGUCUGUUCAGCACAGUGGUGUCCUAAACAAGGCAUGAUGGUUUCAAGUGUCCCCCAGAAGUCUCAUGAGUUGGAGGUGGGACCUGAUAAGAAGAACCAGGUCACUGGGGGCCUGACAUGGAAGGAUAUAUUCUUGUCACCAUCUUUUUCUCUCUGCUUCCUGGCCACCAUAAGUUGAACUCCCCCCCCCCGACUUUUUACUGUGCUGUUUCUAUCUUGUAGUAAACAUGAACUGAACUCACUGAAAUUGUAAGCCCAAAUAAACUUCUCCUUUAAGUUGCUGUUAUGUAUUUUAUAUGUGUUACCAACAAUAAAAUGACUAAUGUACAAGGCCAAACUA
This is an RNA transcript of Cavia porcellus (domestic guinea pig), 4576 nucleotides long. It is a transcript of the gene named solute carrier family 52 member 2, with no coding region annotated. NCBI's taxonomy places the organism in Eukaryota, Metazoa, Chordata, Mammalia, Rodentia, Caviidae. The record is from RefSeq and is a predicted model, not a curated record. The transcript has 7 exons.